Molecule: ribosomal RNA, 251 nt
Filed under: uncultured bacterium
Lineage: Bacteria
Description: partial 16S ribosomal RNA
Rfam family: Bacterial small subunit ribosomal RNA
Source: RNAcentral
UACGUAGGGGGCAAGCGUUAUCCGGAUUUACUGGGUGUAAAGGGAGCGUAGGCGGCAGCGCAAGUCAGAAGUGAAAGCCCGGGGCUUAACUCCGGGACUGCUUUUGAAACUGUGCGGCUAGAUUUCAGGAGAGGUAAGCGGAAUUCCUAGUGUAGCGGUGAAAUGCGUAGAUAUUAGGAGGAACACCAGUGGCGAAGGCGGCUUACUGGACUGACAAUGACGCUGAGGCUCGAAAGCGUGGGGAGCAAACA